RNAcentral lists this long non-coding RNA (211 nucleotides) under Cavia porcellus (domestic guinea pig). Its description in RNAcentral is "lncRNA (ENSCPOG00000030595.1)". Lineage: Eukaryota; Metazoa; Chordata; Mammalia; Rodentia; Caviidae. The record is from RNAcentral.
CAGGAGAUGGGCUGAAGGCUGUGCUGGGAGCACUAUGGUGGCUGGAUUUCUUGUCGUUUUCCAAUGAGGCUCGCCCAUGAAAUGAUGGACAAUCUGGAUCUCAGGGGAUGGCAGACUCUCCCAACACAGUGGCUAGCAGGGUGUAUACUCCCACUGCACUACGGGGUUGCAGCCUGUGAAUGCACAGGGCAUGCUCUCACCUUGGAACCUC